RNAcentral lists this transfer RNA (76 nucleotides) under Pseudomonas putida. RNAcentral's name for it is "tRNA-Lys". It matches the Rfam family "tRNA". From Rfam's summary of the family: Transfer RNA (tRNA) molecules are approximately 80 nucleotides in length. Their secondary structure includes four short double-helical elements and three loops (D, anti-codon, and T loops). The record is from RNAcentral. Lineage: Bacteria; Pseudomonadati; Pseudomonadota; Gammaproteobacteria; Pseudomonadales; Pseudomonadaceae.
AGGAGGUUAGCUCAGUUGGUAGAGCAGGUGGCUUUUAACCACUUGGCCACAGGUUCAAGUCCUGUACCUCCUACCA